CAGUCGCCGCGGUAAUCCGUAGGUGGCAAGCGUUGUCCGGAAUUAUUGGGCGUAAAGGGCUCGCAGGCGGUUUCUUAAGUCUGAUGUGAAAGCCCCCGGCUCAACCGGGGAGGGUCAUUGGAAACUGGGAAACUUGAGUGCAGAAGAGGAGAGUGGAAUUCCACGUGUAGCGGUGAAAUGCGUAGAGAUGUGGAGGAACACCAGUGGCGAAGGCGACUCUCUGGUCUGUAACUGACGCUGAGGAGCGAAAGCGUGGGGAGCGAACAGGAUUAGAUACCCCAGUAGUCCCUGUCUCUUAUAA
Molecule: ribosomal RNA, 301 nt
Filed under: uncultured bacterium
Lineage: Bacteria
Description: partial 16S ribosomal RNA
Rfam family: Bacterial small subunit ribosomal RNA
Source: RNAcentral